This 200-nucleotide ribosomal RNA is filed under the name uncultured bacterium. RNAcentral's name for it is "partial 16S ribosomal RNA". It matches the Rfam family "Bacterial small subunit ribosomal RNA", at positions 8 to 207 of the family's 1533-position model. The record is from RNAcentral.
AGAGUUUGAUCCUGGCUCAGGACAAACGUUGGCGGUGCGUCUUAGACAUGCAAGUCGAGCGUGAAAGCCCGCAAGGGUGAGUAAAGCGGCGAACGGGUGAGUAAUACUUGGGUAACGUCCCUCCGAGAUUGGGAUAACGCGCCGAAAGGCGUGCUAAUACCGAAUAUGACCACGGCUUCUACGGAAGUUGGGGUAAAAGA